RNAcentral lists this transfer RNA (73 nucleotides) under Plasmodium malariae. It matches the Rfam family "tRNA". Rfam says of the family: Transfer RNA (tRNA) molecules are approximately 80 nucleotides in length. Their secondary structure includes four short double-helical elements and three loops (D, anti-codon, and T loops). Further hydrogen bonds mediate the characteristic L-shaped molecular structure. tRNAs have two regions of fundamental functional importance: the anti-codon, which is responsible for specific mRNA codon recognition, and the 3' end, to which the tRNAs corresponding amino acid is attached (by aminoacyl-tRNA synthetases). tRNAs cope with the degeneracy of the genetic code in two manners: having more than one tRNA (with a specific anti-codon) for a particular amino acid; and 'wobble' base-pairing, i.e. permitting non-standard base-pairing at the 3rd anti-codon position. The record is from Rfam by way of RNAcentral. Lineage: Eukaryota; Apicomplexa; Aconoidasida; Haemosporida; Plasmodiidae.
GCUAAAAUGGUUUAAUUGGUAAAGCAACUGAUUUGUAAUCAGUAGAUUAUGAGUUCAAAUCUCAUUGUUAGCU